CGGAAUUACUGGGCGUAAAGCGUACGUAGGCGGAUUCGCAAGUCGGGCGUGAAAUCCCUGGGCUCAACCCAGGAACUGCGUUCGAAACUGCGUAUCUCGAGUGAUGGAGAGGGAAUCGGAAUUCUCGGUGUAGAGGUGAAAUUCGUAGAUAUCAGGAGGAACACCAGUGGCGAAGGCGACUUCCUGGAUCAAUACUGACGCUGAGGCGCGAAGGCAUGGGUAGCGAACAGGAUUAGAUACCCUGGUAGUCCAUGCAGUAAACGAUGAUCACUAGGCGUAGCAGAUAUUUAUACUUGCUGUGUCGUAGCUAACGUAUUAAGUGAUCCGCCUGGGGAGUACGAACGCAAGUUUAAAACUCAAAGGAAUUGACGGGGCU
RNAcentral lists this ribosomal RNA (376 nucleotides) under Pseudo-nitzschia fraudulenta. RNAcentral's name for it is "partial Bacterial small subunit ribosomal RNA". It matches the Rfam family "Bacterial small subunit ribosomal RNA", at positions 546 to 920 of the family's 1533-position model. Lineage: Eukaryota; Bacillariophyta; Bacillariophyceae; Bacillariales; Bacillariaceae. The record is from RNAcentral.